GUCCCUGUGGAACAAUGGAUAAUGCGUUGGAUAUCUAAUCCAAAGGUCGUGGGUUUGAAUCCCACCUGGGAUA
Trichonephila clavipes is the source of this 73-nucleotide non-coding RNA. Lineage: Eukaryota; Metazoa; Arthropoda; Arachnida; Araneae; Nephilidae. The record is from the annotation of a GenBank genome assembly.